RNAcentral lists this ribosomal RNA (1473 nucleotides) under uncultured bacterium. RNAcentral describes it as "bacterial SSU rRNA". It matches the Rfam family "Bacterial small subunit ribosomal RNA". The record is from RNAcentral.
AUUGAACGCUGGCGGCGUGCCUUACACAUGCAAGUCGAACGUGAAAGUUCCUUCGGGGACGAGUAAAGUGGCGCAUGGGUGAGUAACGCGUGGAUAAUCUACCCGAAAGUACGGAAUAACAGUCGGAAACGAUUGCUAAUACCGAAUACGCAGUCCGUAUGCCUUACGGAUUGGAAAGAAGACCUCUGUAUAUGUUUUCGCUUUCGGAUGAGUCCGCGUACCAUUAGCUUGUUGGUGAGGUAAAAGCUCACCAAGGCAACGAUGGUUAACCGGUCUGAGAGGAUGAUCGGUCACACCGGAACUGGAACACGGUCCGGACUCCUACGGGAGGCAGCAGUGGGGAAUAUUGCGCAAUGGGCGAAAGCCUGACGCAGCGACGCCGCGUGAGGGACGAAGGUCUUCGGAUUGUAAACCUCUGUCAGCGGGGAAGAACGGUCACGGUGCCAAUCAGCCGUGAAUUGACGGUACCCGCAAAGGAAGGACCGGCUAACUCCGUGCCAGCAGCCGCGGUAAUACGGAGGGUCCGAGCGUUAAUCGGAAUUACUGGGCGUAAAGCGCUCGUAGGCGGACAUGCAAGUCAAGGGUGAAAUCCCCGCGCUCAACGUGGGAACUGCCUUUGAAACUGCCUGACUGGAGUAUGUGAGAGGACAGUGGAAUUCCCGGUGUAGGAGUGAAAUCCGUAGAUAUCGGGAGGAACAUCGGUGGCGAAGGCGACUGUCUGGCACAUAACUGACGCUGAGGAGCGAAAGCGUGGGUAGCAAACAGGAUUAGAUACCCUGGUAGUCCACGCCGUAAACGAUGGAUACUAGGUGCCGGGGAUUAUUUUUCGGUGCCACAGCCAACGCAUUAAGUAUCCCGCCUGGGGAGUACGGUCGCAAGGCUGAAACUCAAAGAAAUUGACGGGGGCCCGCACAAGCGGUGGAGUAUGUGGUUUAAUUCGAUGCAACGCGAAGAACCUUACCCAAUCUUGACAUCUGGGGGACCUAUAAGAAAUUACAGGGUGCUUUUCGGAGAACCCUAAGACAGGUGCUGCAUGGCUGUCGUCAGCUCGUGCCGUGAGGUGUUGGGUUAAGUCCCGCAACGAGCGCAACCCUUAUUUUUAGUUGCCAUCAAGUAAAGUUGGGCACUCUAAAGAGACCGCUUCGGUUAACGGAGAGGAAGGUGGGGACGACGUCAAGUCAUCAUGGCCCUUACGAUUGGGGCUACACACGUACUACAAUGGUGCAUACAAAUGGUUGCGAGACCGCGAGGUUGAGCCAAUCCCAACAAAUGCAUCUCAGUUCGGAUUGGAGUCUGCAACUCGACUCCAUGAAGUCGGAAUCGCUAGUAAUUCCGGAUCAGCAUGCCGGGGUGAAUGCGUUCCCGGGCCUUGUACACACCGCCCGUCACACCACGAAAGUCAGUUUUACCCGAAGCCGGCGGGCUAACUCAUCUGAGAAGCAUCCGUCUACGGUAGGUCCGAUGAUUGGGGUG